Molecule: non-coding RNA, 75 nt
Organism: Podarcis lilfordi (Lilford's wall lizard)
Lineage: Eukaryota; Metazoa; Chordata; Lepidosauria; Squamata; Lacertidae
Source: the annotation of a GenBank genome assembly
UUCAGAGUGGCUCAGUUGGUAGAACAUGAGAGUCAUAAUCCCAGCGUUGUGGGUUCGAGCCCAUGUUGGGUGAAA